Molecule: ribosomal RNA, 423 nt
Filed under: uncultured bacterium
Lineage: Bacteria
Description: partial 16S ribosomal RNA
Rfam family: Bacterial small subunit ribosomal RNA
Source: RNAcentral
GAAUAUUGGACAAUGGGCGAAAGCCUGAUCCAGCCAUGCCGCGUGUGUGAAGAAGNUCNNCGGAUNGNAAAGCACUUUAAGUUNNNNNGAAGGGGUUGAAGCUAAUACCUUCAAUCUUUGACGUUACCAACAGAAUAAGCACCGGCUAACUCUGUGCCAGCAGCCGCGGUAAUACAGAGGGUGCAAGCGUUAAUCGGAAUUACUGGGCGUAAAGCGCGCGUAGGUGGUUCAGUAAGAUGGAAGUGAAAUCCCCGGGCUUAACCUGGGAACUGCUUUCAUAACUGCUGAGCUAGAGUACGGUAGAGGGUAGUGGAAUUUCCUGUGUAGCGGUGAAAUGCGUAGAUAUAGGAAGGAACACCAGUGGCGAAGGCGACUACCUGGACUGAUACUGACACUGAGGUGCGAAAGCGUGGGGAGCAAACA